RNAcentral lists this ribosomal RNA (386 nucleotides) under uncultured bacterium. RNAcentral describes it as "bacterial SSU rRNA". It matches the Rfam family "Bacterial small subunit ribosomal RNA", at positions 29 to 416 of the family's 1533-position model. The record is from RNAcentral.
AUUGAACGCUGGCGGCAUGCUUUACACAUGCAAGUCGAGCGGCAGCGCGGGGGCAACCCUGGCGGCGAGCGGCGAACGGGUGAGGAAUACAUCGGAACGUACCCCGGAGUGGGGGAUAACGCCGCGAAAGCGGCGCUAAUACCGCAUAUGCUCUGAGGAGGAAAGUGGGGGACCGCAAGGCCUCACGCUCUGGGAGCGGCCGAUGUCCGAUUAACUAGUUGGUGGGGUAAAGGCCCACCAAGGCGACGAUCGGUAGCUGGUCUGAGAGGAUGAUCAGCCACACUGGGACUGAGACACGGCCCAGACUCCUACGGGAGGCAGCAGUGGGGAAUUUUGGACAAUGGGGGCAACCCUGAUCCAGCCAUGCCGCGUGCGGGAAGAAGGCC